UAUCCAACUGUCCAAGGUCCAGCCUAGGCAACAGAACCAGAACCGAACCUAACAGAACUGGUACCAGGAAGCGGGGUACUGAUUGACCAGAUCCAACUCACCCCUUUAUACCUGAGAUGAGGUAUUGGUUAAGCAAUUGGCCGUGAGGAGAAAGACAGGCCCCAUUUACCAAGGUCUAUAUACGGUGGAAAAGGUCCCUUGAAGAUAAAGACCCCAGAAGCCCCGAUGGCUCCCCCCUUGGAGCGAGGGCUCAAGAACAAGGAGGACACAAAGCUAGAAGCCCCGAUGGCUCCCCUCUUGGAGCGAGGGCUCAAGAACAAGGAGGACGCAAAGCUAGAGACCCUGAUGGCUCCCUCCAUAGAGCAAGGGUCCGGGAAGACCAGCACUUAACUGCCAAUCAGGUGUACAAUAGAACGAUACAAAGAGGGAAAUAUUGUGGACUAUUGCUUAUACUGUUUGUGGUGACCGCUUUUGUGGUUUGCUACUUCACCCCAGGUUGAUACAUAAGAUAGGAAAAGGCCAAGACCUAGUAAGGAAAAGAUUCAUACCAAAUUUGGUAUAGUGAGUGAUCCCAAGAAAGUAAACAUUCUUUGGGAUCAGAGGAGGGAUGUAAGGAAUGUGAAAUAAUGGAAUAUUAUAUGUCUGACAUUAUCUACUCCAUUUUAGAUCUAGGAUUCCAUUUUAUAUAACAUAGGUCUCUGUAGAGACAUUUCAAUAUGUAUUUUUUGUUUUUGCUUUUAUUCUAACAUUUAAGUUUUGCGGUUUUCAUAAAUAGAAUAUGUGCUAGAUGGCUAGUUCCGGAGCAGGCAUUCUGUAUGCAAGUAACGUGUUCUUCUGUCUUUAAAAUUUAACAAUUGUUCCUUAAAAUCCUCUGAAAUCUGUAAGACUGAAACUUGUGAACUUGUUCCCCUUUUUCUAAAUAUGUAAGGAGGAGGAGAUUUCUGUAACUCUCUGUAUGUGUGUAUAAAAGCUCUG
This is a long non-coding RNA of Rana temporaria (common frog), 975 nucleotides long. RefSeq lists it as uncharacterized. Lineage: Eukaryota; Metazoa; Chordata; Amphibia; Anura; Ranidae. The record is from RefSeq and is a predicted model, not a curated record. The transcript has 2 exons.